UGGGGAAUUUUGGACAAUGGCGAAGCAUGCUCAGCAAAUGCCGCGUGUGUGAAGAAGGCCUUCGGGUUGUAAAGCACUUUUGUCCGGAAAGAAAUCCUUGGCUCUAAUACAGUCGGGGGAUGACGGUACCGGAAGAAUAAGCACCGGCUAACUACGUGCCAGCAGCCGCGGUAAUACGUAGGGUGCAAGCGUUAAUCGGAAUUACUGGGCGUAAAGCGUGCGCAGGCGGUUUGCUAAGACCGAUGUGAAAUCCCCGGGCUCAACCUGGGAACUGCAUUGGUGACUGGCAGGCUAGAGUAUGGCAGAGGGGGGUAGAAUUCCACGUGUAGCAGUGAAAUGCGUAGAGAUGUGGAGGAAUACCGAUGGCGAAGGCAGCCCCCUGGGCCAAUACUGACGCUCAUGCACGAAAGCGUGGGGAGCAAACAGGAUUAGAUACCCUGGUAGUCCACGCCCUAAACGAUGUCAACUAGUUGUUGGGGAUUCAUUUCCUUAGUAACGUAGCUAACGCGUGAAGUUGACCGCCUGGGGAGUACGGUCGCAAGAUUAAAACUCAAAUGAAUUGACGGGGUCAUAGCUGUUUCCU
This 583-nucleotide ribosomal RNA is filed under the name uncultured bacterium. Its description in RNAcentral is "partial 16S ribosomal RNA". It matches the Rfam family "Bacterial small subunit ribosomal RNA", at positions 355 to 1375 of the family's 1533-position model. The record is from RNAcentral.